Molecule: ribosomal RNA, 253 nt
Filed under: uncultured bacterium
Lineage: Bacteria
Description: partial 16S ribosomal RNA
Rfam family: Bacterial small subunit ribosomal RNA
Source: RNAcentral
UACAGAGGUCUCAAGCGUUGUUCGGAUUCAUUGGGCGUAAAGGGUGCGUAGGCGGCGCGGUAAGUCGGUUGUGAAAUCUCGGAGCUUAACUCCGAAACUGCAUUCGAUACUGCCGUGCUUGAGGACUGGAGAGGAGACUGGAAUUUACGGUGUAGCGGUGAAAUGCGUAGAUAUCUGGAGGAACACCGGUGGCGAAGGCGGCAUCCUGGACCAACACUGACACUGAGGAGCGAAAGCCAGGGGAGCAAACGGG